This 400-nucleotide unclassified non-coding RNA is filed under the name uncultured fungus. RNAcentral describes it as "sequence contains ITS1". The stretch from base 1 to 106 matches the Rfam family "5.8S ribosomal RNA", at positions 50 to 154 of the family's 154-position model. Lineage: Eukaryota; Fungi. The record is from RNAcentral.
GAAAUGCGAUACGUAAUGCGAAUUGCAGAACUCAGUGAAUCAUCAAAUCUUUGAACGCAAAUGGCGCUUUCGGGAUAGGCCUGAAAGCACGCCUCUUUGAGUAUCGAUUCCACACCAACAAGUCACCAUGCUUGUUUGAAUCUGAGUAUUUCACAGAUGCCGAGUCUGUGUUACUUGAAGUGGAAAUUGGGUCUUUUAAUGAUCGCAAAGGAUUUUCGUUGAAAUGAAAAGCCAGUUGCGUGACGUGGGUAACUCGUUUUUGUCUCCUUUACGGCGACAAAAUCUAUCCAAUACGUGACGCAGCGUUCAAAAGCUUGCUUUCAAUGAGUCGACUUUGGUCGCAUCUUUCGUGAAUCCAAAACCCGAACAAAACAACAAUCUUUAAGAAUUAGAUCUCAAA